GGGGUUGUGGCUCAGUGGUAGAGCGCUUGCCUAGCAUGUGGGAAGCCCUGGGUUUGAUCCUCAGCACCA
RNAcentral lists this transfer RNA (69 nucleotides) under Ictidomys tridecemlineatus (thirteen-lined ground squirrel). RNAcentral describes it as "Spermophilus tridecemlineatus (thirteen-lined ground squirrel) tRNA". It matches the Rfam family "tRNA". Rfam says of the family: Transfer RNA (tRNA) molecules are approximately 80 nucleotides in length. Their secondary structure includes four short double-helical elements and three loops (D, anti-codon, and T loops). Lineage: Eukaryota; Metazoa; Chordata; Mammalia; Rodentia; Sciuridae. The record is from Rfam by way of RNAcentral.